This 445-nucleotide ribosomal RNA is filed under the name Cryptosporidium canis. Its description in RNAcentral is "SSU rRNA". It matches the Rfam family "Eukaryotic small subunit ribosomal RNA", at positions 572 to 1049 of the family's 1831-position model. The record is from RNAcentral. Lineage: Eukaryota; Apicomplexa; Conoidasida; Eucoccidiorida; Cryptosporidiidae.
AGCCGCGGUAAUUCCAGCUCCAAUAGCGUAUAUUAAAGUUGUUGCAGUUAAAAAGCUCGUAGUUGGAUUUCUGUUAAUAAUUUAUAUAUAAUAUUUAACAUAUUUAUAUAAUAUUAACAUAAUUCAUAUUACUAUUUAUAGUAUAUGAAACUUUACUUUGAGAAAAUUAGAGUGCUUAAAGCAGGCUUUUGCCUUGAAUACUAGAGCAUGGAAUAAUAUUAAAGAUUUUUAUCUUUCUUAUUGGUUCUAAGAUAGAUAUAAUGAUUAAUAGGGACAGUUGGGGGCAUUUGUAUUUAACAGUUAGAGGUGAAAUUCUUAGAUUUGUUAAAGACAAACUAAUGCGAAAGCAUUUGCCAAGGAUGUUUUCAUUAAUCAAGGACGAAAGUUAGGGGAUCGAAGACGAUCAGAUACCGUCGUAGUCUUAACCAUAAACCAUGCCAACUAG